GGUCAUGUAGUUUAUAAAGAAUGAAAGGUUUGCGUCUUUUUGGUGUGCAGUUUUGUAUCUUGGCCUC
Molecule: transfer RNA, 67 nt
Filed under: Trisidos kiyonoi
Lineage: Eukaryota; Metazoa; Mollusca; Bivalvia; Arcoida; Arcidae
Description: tRNA-Ala
Source: RNAcentral